Molecule: long non-coding RNA, 1965 nt
Filed under: Taeniopygia guttata (zebra finch)
Lineage: Eukaryota; Metazoa; Chordata; Aves; Passeriformes; Estrildidae
Description: lncRNA (ENSTGUG00000026056.1)
Source: RNAcentral
CACCUCAAACCCCGGAGACCCCCCUCUGUACCUUGAGCAGGAUCUCCACAGUGAAGAUGGAGGUGAAGGCGUAGUCGAAGUAUCCCAGGAUCUGGGGGGUGGGGAGGGGGAACGGGGUGACCCCGACCCCUCCCAAACCCCCCCAACCUCCUGGACCCCCCAAACACCCCCAGAGUCCCCCUGAACCCCUCCUUGCCCUUCCCAGCCCCCCCCAUUUCUGACCCCAAAUCCGGAUCCCGUGUGGGGUGAAUUCCCCCACAGCCCUCCAGUGCCCCCAGUCCCUCCCAGUUUGCCCAGUAGCCCACGUGGUUGCGGGGCGAGUGGGCGCGCACGGGGUCCUCUGCGGCCAGGGAGAUGCUGCUGAGGAUGAUGAAGACGAGGAUGAGGUUGGUGAAGAUGUGGUGGUUGAUCAGGGCGUGGCACUUCACCCGCAGCCUGCGCCAGGCACACGUCAGCUCCCAGUCCCACCAGUGCUCCCAGUCCAUCCCAGUGCUCCCAGUCCCCCCCAGUGCUCCCAGUCCAUCCCAGUGCUCCCAGUCCCCCCCAGUGCUCCCAGUCCAUCCCAGUGCUCCCAGUGCCCCCAGUGCUCCCAGUGCUCCCAGUCCCCCCAGUGCUCCCAUUCCAUCCCAGUGCUCCCAGUCCCCCCAGUGCUCCUAGUCCAUCCCAGUGCUCCCAGUCCCCCCAGUCCCCAGUGCUCCCAGUCCAUCCCAGUGCUCCCAUUCCAUCCCAGUGCUCCCAGUCCCCCCCAGUGUGUGUCUCCAGUCCCAGUCCCCCCACUGCUCCCAGUCCAUCCCAGUGCUCCCAGUCCCCUCCAGUGCUCCCAGUGCUCCCAGUCCCCAGUGUUCCCAGUCCCUCGACUGCUCCCAGUCCAUCCCAGUGCUCCCAGUCCCUCGACUGCUCCCAGUCCAUCCCAGUGCUCCCAGUCCAUCCCAGUGCUCCCAGUCCUCCCCAGUGCUCCCAGUGCCCCCAGUGUUCCCAGUUCCCCCAGUGCCACUCACGGGUUGGUGCUGCUCAGCACGAAGAAGGCGCUGCCCUCGGGGAUCGGGGUCACCUUGGGCUUGGGGGCCUCUUCCAGGGACUCCAGCCGGGCCCUCCCCAGGCUGUCACGCUCCCCCCGGGCCUCCUCGUCACCUGCAAGGGACCCCGUGUCCGGUCACUGUCACAUCCCCCCUCCAGGGUUCCUCUGUCCAGGUUGUCCACGGCGAUGGCCAGGAAGACGUUGAGGAGGAUGUCUGAGGGGAGCAGAGGGCUCACCAGUGCUCCCAGUCCCUCCCAGUGCUCCCAGUCCCUCCCAGUCCCUCUGAUGCUCCCAGUGCUCCCAGUCCCCCCCAGUACUCCCAGUGCCCCCAGUGCCCCCAGUGCCCCCAGUCCCUCCCAGUGCCCCCAGUCCCUCCCAGUCCCUCCCAGUGCUCCCAGUCCCUCCCAGUGCCCCCAGUCCCUCCCAGUGCCCCCAGUACCCCCAGUACCCCCAGUCCCUCCCAGUCCCUCCCAGUGCCCCCAGUCCCUCCCAGUGCCCCCAGUCCCUCCCAGUCCCUCCCAGUGCUCCCAGUCCCUCCCAGUGCCCCCAGUCCCUCCCAGUGCUCCCAGUCCCUCCCAGUACCCCCAGUCCCUCCCAGUACCCCCAAUGCACCCAGUGCUCCCAGUCCCUCCCAGUACCCCCAGUCCCCCCAGUCCUUCCCAGUGCCUCCCAGUCUCUCCCAGUGCCCCCAGUCCCUCUGCUGCUCCCAGUCCCCCCAGUGCCCCCAGUCCCUCCCAGUCUCUCCCAGUGCCCCCAGUGCUCCCAGUGCCCAGCCUGCCCACGCACAGUUCCCGCAGAUGAAGAGGAUGACGAAGUAGACGCAGACAAGCAUCCCGGGGAACACGGGGCCGCCGUAGGCCAUGAUCCCAUCAUACAUCACCGCGUUCCAAUCCUCCCCCGUCAGGAUCUGGGCGAGUUGGGGGUCCCCAAACACCAGGGGCACCCCA